Molecule: ribosomal RNA, 253 nt
Filed under: uncultured bacterium
Lineage: Bacteria
Description: partial 16S ribosomal RNA
Rfam family: Bacterial small subunit ribosomal RNA
Source: RNAcentral
GACAGAGGUGCCAAGCGUUAGGCGGAAUCACUGGGCUUAAAGCGUGUGUAGGCGGAUCGUUAAGUACCUUGUGAAAUCCCCCGGCUCAACCGGGGAACUGCUGGGUAUACUGGCGAUCUUGAGCGAUCUAGGGGCAGAUGGAACAAGUGGUGGAGCGGUGAAAUGCGUAGAUAUCUGGAGGAAUACCGGUGGCGAAGGCGGCAUCCUGGACCGACAUUGACGCUGAGGAGCGAAAGCCAGGGGAGCAAACGGG